Molecule: ribosomal RNA, 253 nt
Filed under: uncultured bacterium
Lineage: Bacteria
Description: partial 16S ribosomal RNA
Rfam family: Bacterial small subunit ribosomal RNA
Source: RNAcentral
GACAGAGGAUGCAAGCGUUAUCCGGAAUGAUUGGGUGUAAAGCGUCUGUAGGUGGCUUUUUAAGUUCGCCGUCAAAUCCCAGGGCUCAACCCUGGACAGGUGGUGGAAACUACCAAGCUAGAGUACGGUAGGGGCAGAGGGAAUUUCCGGUGGAGCGAUGAAAUGCGUAGAGAUCGGAAGGAACACCCAAGGCGAAAGCACUCUGCUGGGCCGACACUGACACUGAGAGACGAAAGCUAGGGGAGCAAAUGGG